UACGGAGGGUGCGAGCGUUAAUCGGAAUUACUGGGCGUAAAGGGCGCGUAGGCGGCCGAUCAAGUUAGAUGUGAAAGUCCUGGGCUUAACCUGGGGACUGCAUUUGAUACUGAUUGGCUUGAAUUCGGGAGAGGAUAGCGGAAUUCCCAGUGUAGAGGUGAAAUUCGUAGAUAUUGGGAAGAACACCGGUGGCGAAGGCGGCACUCUGGGCUGGAACUGACGCUGAGGAGCGAAAGCGUGGGUAGCAAACAGG
Molecule: ribosomal RNA, 253 nt
Filed under: uncultured bacterium
Lineage: Bacteria
Description: partial 16S ribosomal RNA
Rfam family: Bacterial small subunit ribosomal RNA
Source: RNAcentral